This 376-nucleotide unclassified non-coding RNA is filed under the name uncultured bacterium. RNAcentral describes it as "contains 16S-23S intergenic spacer region". The record is from RNAcentral.
UCCAGCUUAUCGCUGGCGGUCUCCUGCGAGUGCCCAACUAAAUGAUGGCAACACAGGACAAGGGUUGCGCUCGUUGCGGGACUUAACCCAACAUCUCACGACACGAGCUGACGACAGCCAUGCAGCACCUGUGCUGGCGCUCCGAAGAGGGGCCGAUGUUUCCACCGGCUUACACCAGCAUGUCAAACCCAGGUAAGGUUCUUCGCGUUGCCUCGAAUUAAACCACACGCUCCGCUGCUUGUGCGGGCCCCCGCCUAUUCCUUUGAGUUUUAACCUUGCGGCCGGAGUCCCCAGGCGGUGAACUUCACGCGUUAGCUUCGUUACCAAGGAAUUGCUUCCCCGACAACCAGUUGACAUAGUUUAGGGCGUGGACUAC